GGUGACAGCCUGGAACUAAACCAUUCGAAAUAAAAUCACAAACCUGCACUCACAAAAUGACUCUGGACCCUGGAGAACUAGCAGGGUCACAUUCUCUAACUAGGAGCAGGAAUGGCUGCUACAGCUCUAACACAAACUAAAGCCUUGCUGCGUCCACUCAACACAAGGACCCACAAGACUGGCAACAACAUUAAGGCAGGGAUACAGAUGAGGAGAAAAAGGCAAACUGACUGGAACUACAGUAACUGCAUAAGGAAGGUGACCUACAAGUUUCUAACACAAAGACAGGAAGGGAAUAACCACUGCAGAAGCAGGACUGAACGUGAAGCAAAGGCAAACUAAGUCACUGCCUGGUGAAGAACCCUGAAACACAGGGACACAAAGCACAAGGCAGAUGAACAGAAACAACAAACAGAGCUACAACACAGAUCAACAGCACAAAAUGCAGAUCUUAAAGGAAAUACUGGAACAGGAAACAGACAGGAAGUGAUGUAACACCAACAAGUAAGACGAGACUGAACAACACUCAAGGUGUCAUGAUUCAUGUUACGUGUCACAUCCUGUUUUAUUUUGUUAACUUCCUGUCACGCUCCGGUUCUCAUCAUCCACACCUGUUGCUAAUUAGUAAUCAGCACCUGUACUUAACCUCCACCUCUCACCCACACCAGUCGCCAGAUUGUUAGUUCAUGUACUCUUUCCAGCAUUCUAUUGUAGCCAUUCGUGUUUUGACCGUGACCGCCUCGACCUUUGAUUCUUGCCUGAACCCUGUUGAUCCCGCAACCUGUGAAAGACCUGUGCCUGAUAAUCUGACCGUGAGUUUUUUGCCUGAUCCUUGUCUGUACUGUCGCCAAGUCUGCUCGUGUACCGAACCCUGCCUGGACCUUGAUUCUGAGAUUGCCUGCUCCUCUGUGUAUUGCCUACUGGAACGUACUGUGUAUGACCUGGACCGCCUGACUCUGAUUCACCGAAUAAACCUGCACUUAAUCACAUCUGUGUUUCUGCGCCGUGCAUGUGGGUCCGACACCUGCCCAAGCCUGACACAAGGCAUCCGGCAGAUUAGAAGGUGGAAUUAUGACAAAUAGGCCCAAAACAAUCUGCCACGCUACGUGUCUAUGCAGAUUACACUCAGUUAUAUCUCUUAUUGAAACCACGUGACUAAUCAAUUAGUCAAACGUCUUUAAAAUACAUCAAAUCCUGGAUGGCCUGUUACUCCCUUCAUCUAACUUCAGACA
This 1232-nucleotide long non-coding RNA is filed under the name Betta splendens (Siamese fighting fish). RNAcentral describes it as "lncRNA (ENSBSLG00000005207.1)". Lineage: Eukaryota; Metazoa; Chordata; Actinopteri; Anabantiformes; Osphronemidae. The record is from RNAcentral.